UACGUAGGGUGCAGGCGUUAAUCGGAAUUACUGGGCGUAAAGCGUACGCAGGCGGCUUUGCAAGACAGGUGUGAAAUCCCCGGGCCUAACCUGGGAACUGCAUUUGUGACUGCAUGGCUAGAGUUUGUCAGAGGGGGGUGGAAUUCCACGUGUAGCAGUGAAAUGCGUAGGUAUGUGGAGGAACACCGAUGGCGAAGGCAGCCCCCUGGGAUGUGACUGACGCUCAUGUACGAAAGCGUGGGGAGCAAACAGG
This 253-nucleotide ribosomal RNA is filed under the name uncultured bacterium. Its description in RNAcentral is "partial 16S ribosomal RNA". It matches the Rfam family "Bacterial small subunit ribosomal RNA", at positions 524 to 776 of the family's 1533-position model. The record is from RNAcentral.